UACAGAGGAUGCAAGCGUUAUCCGGAAUGAUUGGGCGUAAAGCGUCUGUAGGCGGCUUUUUAAGUCCGCCGUCAAAUCCCAGGGCUCAACUCUGGACAGGCGGUGGAAACUACCAAGCUGGAGUACGGUAGGGGCAGAGGGAAUUUCCAGUGGAGCGGUGAAAUGCGUAGAGAUCGGAAAGAACACCAACGGCGAAAGCGCUCUGCUGGGCCGACACUGACGCUGAGAGACGAAAGCUAGGGGAGCGAAUGGG
Molecule: ribosomal RNA, 253 nt
Filed under: uncultured bacterium
Lineage: Bacteria
Description: partial 16S ribosomal RNA
Rfam family: Bacterial small subunit ribosomal RNA
Source: RNAcentral